CCCUUAGAUGUUCUGGGCCGCACGCGUGCUACACUGAGUGGAUCAGCGGGUCAGGUUGCGCGAAAGUGUUUCCUAAUCUUGAAAUCCGCUGGUGAUGGGGAUUGACGGUUGCAAUUUUCCGUCAUGAACGAGGAAUACCUUGUAAGCGCGGGUCAUCAUCCCGCGCUGAAUACGUCCCUGCCCUUUGUACACACCGCCCGUCGCUCCUACCGAUUGAGUGGUCCGGUGAGGCUUUGGGAUCUGAGCGGAAAGAGCGUUUCGCUGUUUCUGCUCGGAAAACUCAGUCGAACCUUAUCAUUUAGAGGAAGGAGAAGUCGUAACA
RNAcentral lists this ribosomal RNA (322 nucleotides) under uncultured eukaryote. Its description in RNAcentral is "partial 18S ribosomal RNA". It matches the Rfam family "Eukaryotic small subunit ribosomal RNA", at positions 1470 to 1796 of the family's 1831-position model. The record is from RNAcentral.